UCAGGUGAAGAGGGAAGAUUAAAUCAAAUAGUAGAUAAAGAUCUAAUGGGAGAGUGACUUAUUUAAAUGGGAAGAAAUUGUCCAUGUUGCACUCAUGUUGCACUCAUGUGUAGACAUAUUUCAGGUGACUUUGUUUAUUAUGUGGAAUUGCAUAUGCCUCUAAGUACUAAGGCACCACAUGUAGAGUUAUGAAUUUUGUGACAAUCUGAGCUGGUAAUUAAGGCUUUUUUCAUGUAUCAAAGAUCAACUAUUUUGAAAUCAGUGGUGUCAUUUAUAAGCAAAGGAUUGAUUAAGUUUGCCAUUUUGAUACCUCUAGAUAUAUUUGAGUUGUAUUUUGAAGUUGGAUUAUUUUAUAACCAAUACUUGGUUAAUAUUGUAGUGCAUGUCACUUAUUUUAUUUCUUAUGAGCAGUUUGAUUUUAGGAUUAAUGAAAUUUGUUUGGUUUUUAUUAUCCAGAUUCAGAAAAACUAGCACUCAUUAUCAAGUGACUCUUACCUUUUAUUCUUAUUUUCUUUUUGUAGAGGAUGAAAUAUUUUCCACCUUAGUUAUUUUCCUUUUGGAUAAAAGAAUUGAUAUAUCUAGUCUAAGUACUUUUGAUUAUAACUAUAUGCAGACAUGAAAACAAAUGAGUAUAUGCCAACAAUGGUGGUGUUGACAAGACAAAAGUUGCCAACAUUAUUGUACGCAGAGAGGGAUCAAUGGUGCUUUUACUUCUACUUCAUUUGAAAGAUCAAGGAUGUGAAUUUUGACGUAUCAAUUUAUAUUUAGCUAGUUUUGUGAUUUUUCCAUCUCGUUGCUUAUCAAUGCUUAGCAAUGUAUUUAAUGCUCUGUAAUUCAUAUAUUGAUUAGUUUAAAUGCAAAUUGUAAUUGGAUUUGAAGAUAUCCAUUGUAUUAUACAGUAGUAACUUGUAAAGAUUUGAGUAGCAUAUUUUGUAACCAAUAUUUUUGUAUGGUACACAAUUUGAAUGUCUUAUGUGGUGUUUGAUUCUAAUCAAUGAAAAUUGUUGGCUCUUUUUUUUUGUAUUCAAGUAUAG
This 1034-nucleotide long non-coding RNA is filed under the name Trifolium pratense (red clover). RNAcentral's name for it is "long non-coding RNA (TPRA_LNC012538)". Lineage: Eukaryota; Viridiplantae; Streptophyta; Magnoliopsida; Fabales; Fabaceae. The record is from RNAcentral.